Molecule: long non-coding RNA, 1033 nt
Organism: Diorhabda carinulata
Lineage: Eukaryota; Metazoa; Arthropoda; Insecta; Coleoptera; Chrysomelidae
Exons: 2
Source: RefSeq, a predicted model, not a curated record
AUUCAAUGAACAACGUCCAUCUUGCAAAGGUGUUUGAUAUUGUUUGUUUAUUAGCUAUUUGCAUUUUUGUGCAUUUGAAAGUUAUUAUUUGUUGCGAAUUGUGCUGUCGUGUUUACUUAGUCAAUAUGAGUAAAGGAGUAAAGGCCUGCUGUGUACCAGGAUGCACGAAUAAGCAAGAGAUAAGACAUUCCAUUCCUACGAAUGAAGACGUUUGCGGAAUUUGGUUGCAUAAAUAACCCCAAGUUAAUGCUUGCAGAUACAGUAUUAUAAUCACAUAGAAUAUGUGAUAUUCAUUUUGAACAAAUUUGUAGAAACCACAAUGGCAGGUUAAAAAAAACUUAAACUGCCAACUCUACAUUUACCUGGUAAGUACUUAUAUUUACUGUGACAAUCAACCUCUUAUGAACCCUAGUGAAAAGUUAUGCAGAGGAAAAGAAUUGCUAUUUCCUCCAAUAGUCGAUGUCCUAAUUUAUAAACCAUUCAAUAGAAGCUCAAAAUAAAAAUCUUUUAUAUGCGCCUUCAGCAAAAUUCUGUGAUAUAUUUAAAAGUUUUUCUGAUAAAAUUUUCAAAAGAUUGCCCCAGUUAAUCAAUUCGUUAGGCAUAAAGAAUCAAAUAUUUUAUUUGGAAGAUUUGACAGACAUUUCCUCAAUAUUUUGUUCAGAUCAUAAGGAUUAUUUAAAUAUGUUUGUAAAUAUUGGUUUUCACAUAUACAUCUUUCAUUACAUAGGUAUUAUUAAUAAAAUUUUGAAGGGCAAAGAUCAACAAUAUAAAGACUACGAUGUUGUGAUGAAUAUGGCAUAUUUAAAUAUAGGGAAAGCUGUAAGAAAGACAACAGUAAUCAUUAAUUAACCAUGGUUAUAAAAUCCGUUUUUUAUAUACCAUUGUAUGUACCAUGUACAAACAGAAACAUUUUUUAAACACGCCAACAUCUCAAUGUUGACAGUCCUAAGCCUGCUAAAGUGUGAAGGAACAUUUUUUAUUUGUGGAUAUAAUUAUAAAAUGUCAAAAACAAAAUAAAAAAUUGUAACAAUCA